UUCUGACCUCAAAUCAGGUGGGACUACCCGCU
This 32-nucleotide ribosomal RNA is filed under the name Pyrofomes demidoffii. RNAcentral describes it as "partial 28S ribosomal RNA". The record is from RNAcentral. Lineage: Eukaryota; Fungi; Basidiomycota; Agaricomycetes; Polyporales; Polyporaceae.